This 2313-nucleotide long non-coding RNA is filed under the name Theobroma cacao (cacao). RNAcentral's name for it is "long non-coding RNA (TCAC_LNC001647)". Lineage: Eukaryota; Viridiplantae; Streptophyta; Magnoliopsida; Malvales; Malvaceae. The record is from RNAcentral.
AUGGCAUCAUCAACCAUUAUAUAAAUACAUAUAAUUUGACAAGUGAAUCUCAGCAUUUCACAACAAAUAGUCAUAUACACGUAAUUAGAACUUGACCGUCAGCGGAGUGACUCUGGAUGGGAGAUAUGACUACUGAAUGUCAAAGUACCUGCCCAAAAGAUGGGAGUACGUGGACACCUCAAUCUACGUCUCAACCACCCCUGAAUCUGAAAACAUGAAGUUGAAAACGUGAGUAUAAACUCAGUGAGUGAACAUAGGAAGGGAACAAGCAAUUACAAGGAAUGAUUUAGAAAUCAUGAUGCACUUAAGUUCGAAAACAGUGCAACCUAGUUCAAGUUCUUAUUAAAAUCUUUCCAUCAACCCAAGUUAUUAAAUCAUUUCAUAAUGAAGGAACUAUAUUUAGCAGGAAAUCGGAAAGAGAGGAAAUUUCUAGCAAUCAUCCAAGCAAGGCAAUAUAAACAGAAUGUUCUUGUUGUAAUAAAAUCAAUUCACAUGUAAAUGGGAAAUUUUCAAGAUUUAUCAUGCCAUAUAAACACAUAUUAUAAUCAUAAUCUUUCUAUUGCAUAUACAUAUGCUUAAGCAUAUAUCAAUUAAUAUACCACCACACCUCAUCCAGCUCAUGCACAUCAUCACCGGCAUGUGCACUGCCAACUCCACACAUGCACGGUUAUAAUUAUCACGACAACAUCAUUACCGGCAUGUGCACUACCCGCUCCGCACAUGCACGGUUGUAAUUAUCAUGACAUCAUCAUUAUCGGCACGUGCACUGCCCAUUCCGCACAUGCAUGGUUGUAAUUAUUAUGACAGCAUUAUUAUUGGCAUGUGCACUGCCCACUCCGUACAUGCACGGUUGCAUUUGUCACACAAUGAUACCAUUUAUGACAUAGUAUAUAUAUACAUGUAUAUCAACAUUAUACAAAAAACAUAUGGAUUCAUCCUUUUUCACAUUUCACAUUUCACAACAUCAAAACAUUUUAUCAAGCGCUUGUUCCCAGGAAAUUUUAAAGCAAAAACCGAUAAAAUUCCAAAAUGAUCCAUUAAAACACGUAACAUUUUCCCCCAAACAUUUUGAAAUGCAAGUUCACUCACCUGGCAACAAUGAGAUUUUAAGUCGUUAUUUGUUUAGAGGUGUCUCUAACUAUUUUCAUUGGUCGAUUGCUCGUUUUUUACUCUGGCAUGCCACCACAGUUCUCUAACUUUAUCUUUGCACUUCCUAGCAAUAAUACGAACUCAAUAUAUUUAAUUACAUACGUAUACGGGCAGCACUUCAAUCAAUUAAUCGUUACUCAAAUUUAUAUUUUCAUCCUAUCAUGAAACCAUCUUCAAUUAACUCACAUCUUAAUACAUUUUUACCAAAAUUACUUACAUUCAUUGCUUACAAAAUUCCUUAGAUUAUAUCACCGGCAACUUAUUUAUGAUGUCACGUGCCUACUUCAACCUUUCUAAAUAAUUUUUGCCCAAAUCCAUCUUAUAUUUCCACACCUAAUCUACAUAUAUGGCAACAACAAUUAUUCUCACUUUCACUUGAUUAUUUCCUAGUUUACACGCAUCGUUAUCUAUCUAACUUUCAAUACUUUGUUUCUCAAUCCUCCAUCCACAAUAUUCCCUUUUUAUUUCUUUCAAGCAACAUGCCAUACAAUCUUAACAAUUUUCAAGUAGCUUAGGCAAAUAAAUGCUUUCAACAACCAUAAUUCCUUACAAUAUUCAACUAACCGUAGGCUUUAAAACAUAGUGUUAAGCUUACCGUUUUCCUUUUCAUCUUUGAGUCCUUCAUGUACCCAUGGGUUUAUUGGCUUACAUGUUACCAAUUUUUCUCCAAUCAAGCCAAUCUUUGCUGCCACAAGAUAUUUCUCUAAGUCACUAACUCAUUUUCAAAGACUACUCAAGCCAAAAACAAGAAUUCUUAUCGUUCCUUGCUUGAAUCACCAAAACCAAGCUUUUUCUUCCUUUCUCUCUUUUUCUUUCUUCUCCUCCUAAGGUUUUGGUGUGCUUGAAAUAGGGGUUAAAGGUUGUAAAUUUAAUGCUCAAGAAGUUUGGAGAAGAAAAGACAAGAAAACAUGGAAAGGAAAGUGAAGAAAACUUGAUUUCAUGGUGGAUAAAGAGAAAAUGGCAUGGAAGCUUCAAGAAUGGUGUGGAGCAUGGAUGAAGAAGAAGAAAAAUCUGCUGGGGGAAAGGAUAAGGUCGGUCUUGGCCUAAAAAAAUCAGAGCCAAAGCUUCAUUCGAAAGCUUUGACCAAACUUCACAUAAAAUUACCGUUUUGCCUUUUUUUUUUCCUUCCUUUUUAAUUUAGUCCUCCCAACACUCAUUUAACUC